AGUGAACGCUGGCGGUAGGCCUAACACAUGCAAGUCGAACGGCAGCACAGUAAGGGCUUGCUCUUACGGGUGGCGAGUGGCGGACGGGUGAGGAAUACAUCGGAAUCUACUUUUUCGUGGGGGAUAACGUAGGGAAACUUACGCUAAUACCGCAUACGACCUACGGGUGAAAGCAGGGGAUCUUCGGACCUUGCGCGAUUGAAUGAGCCGAUGUCGGAUUAGCUAGUUGGCGGGGUAAAGGCCCACCAAGGCGACGAUCCGUAGCUGGUCUGAGAGGAUGAUCAGCCACACUGGAACUGAGACACGGUCCAGACUCCUACGGGAGGCAGCAGUGGGGAAUAUUGGACAAUGGGCGCAAGCCUGAUCCAGCCAUACCGCGUGGGUGAAGAAGGCCUUCGGGUUGUAAAGCCCUUUUGUUGGGAAAGAAAAGCAGCAGGUUAAUACCCCGCUGUUCUGACGGUACCCAAAGAAUAAGCGCCGGCUAACUUCGUG
Molecule: ribosomal RNA, 492 nt
Filed under: uncultured bacterium
Lineage: Bacteria
Description: partial 16S ribosomal RNA
Rfam family: Bacterial small subunit ribosomal RNA
Source: RNAcentral